CCAAAGGCUCUUUUCAGAGCCACCACGUUAUCUCUAAAAGACCUGU
Molecule: regulatory RNA element, 46 nt
Organism: Oryctolagus cuniculus (rabbit)
Lineage: Eukaryota; Metazoa; Chordata; Mammalia; Lagomorpha; Leporidae
Rfam family: Histone 3' UTR stem-loop
About the family: The mRNAs of metazoan histone genes lack a poly-A tail. 3' end processing occurs at a site between a highly conserved stem-loop (modelled by this family) and a purine rich region around 20 nts downstream (the histone downstream element, or HDE).
Source: Rfam